GUGGGGAAUAUUGGACAAUGGGCGAAAGCCUGAUCCAGCCAUGCCGCGUGUGUGAAGAAGGUCUUCGGAUUGUAAAGCACUUUAAGUUGGGAGGAAGGGCAGUAAGUUAAUACCUUGCUGUUUUGACGUUACCGACAGAAUAAGCACCGGCUAACUUCGUGCCAGCAGCCGCGGUAAUACGAAGGGUGCAAGCGUUAAUCGGAAUUACUGGGCGUAAAGCGCGCGUAGGUGGUUUUGUAAGUUGGAGGUGAAAUCCCCGGGCUCAACCUGGGAACUGCCUCCAAAACUGCAUGACUAGAGUACGGUAGAGGGUAGUGGAAUUUCCUGUGUAGCGGUGAAAUGCGUAGAUAUAGGAAGGAACACCAGUGGCGAAAGCGACUACCUGGACUGAUACUGACACUGAGGUGCGAAAGCGUGGGGAGCAAACAGGAUUAGAAACCCUAGUAGUCC
This 450-nucleotide ribosomal RNA is filed under the name uncultured bacterium. Its description in RNAcentral is "partial 16S ribosomal RNA". It matches the Rfam family "Bacterial small subunit ribosomal RNA", at positions 354 to 796 of the family's 1533-position model. The record is from RNAcentral.